AGCAUGGAGUUGGUUGUCCUGCCCCUUCACUGGGGCAUGUGCACGCCUUCUCUAUUCAUCCACACACACCUGUGAACUUGUGAGACGGAUAGUAGUCCUGGCAUGUGCUCGCUUCCGACAAUCUUAUCCAUACACCUGUGCACACUGUGAGGGCACCUAUACAUAAACUCCAGUAAAUAAAUUUGAAUGUCAUUUGAUGUAACGCAUCUAUAAACUAAGUUUCAACAACGGAUCUCUUGGCUCUCGCAUCGAUGAAGAACGCAGCGAAAUGCGAUAAGUAAUGUGAAUUGCAGAAUUCAGUGAAUCAUCGAAUCUUUGAACGCACCUUGCGCUCCUUGGUAUUCCUCGGAGCAUGCCUGUUUGAGUAUCAUGAAAUUCUCAAAAUAAAUCUUUUGUUCAUUCGAUCGAUUUUAUUUUGGACUUGGAGGUCUGCAGAUUCACGUCUGCUCCUCUUAAAUUCAUUAGCUGGAUCUCUAUAAACUUGGUUCCACUCGGCGUGAUAAGUAUCACUCGCUGAGGACACUGUAAAAGGUGGCCAGGAUUGUGGAAGAACUGCUUCCAAUAUUCCAUUCACUUGGACAAUAUACUUAUGAUCUGAUCUCAAAUCAGGUAGACUACCCGCUGAACUUAA
RNAcentral lists this ribosomal RNA (631 nucleotides) under Ceratobasidium sp. AG-H. RNAcentral's name for it is "eukaryotic LSU rRNA". The stretch from base 217 to 370 matches the Rfam family "5.8S ribosomal RNA". The record is from RNAcentral. Lineage: Eukaryota; Fungi; Basidiomycota; Agaricomycetes; Cantharellales; Ceratobasidiaceae.